Molecule: ribosomal RNA, 385 nt
Filed under: Gemella morbillorum
Lineage: Bacteria; Bacillati; Bacillota; Bacilli; Caryophanales; Gemellaceae
Description: bacterial SSU rRNA
Rfam family: Bacterial small subunit ribosomal RNA
Source: RNAcentral
GCGGCGUGCCUAAACAUGCAAGUCGAGCGAAGUUUUCUGGUGCGCACUAGAAAACUUAGCGCAACGGUGAGUCACGUAAAGACCUGCCUCAUAGACUGGGCAACUAUUGAAACGAUAGCUAAUCCGAUAACAGCAUUAACUGCAUGGUUGAUGUUUAAAGUGUUGCUAACACUAUGAGUGGCUCUCGGUGCAUUAGCUAGUUGGUGGGUAAAGCCUACCAGGCGCGAUGCAUACCGACCUGAGAGGGUGAUCGCACACUGGGACUGAGACACGCCCAGACUCCUACGGGAGGCAGCAGUAGGGAAUCUUCGCAUGGACGGAAGUCUGACCCGACAACCCGCGUGAGUGAAGAAGGUUUCGGUCGUAAGCUCUGUUGUAAGAGAAG